RNAcentral lists this ribosomal RNA (253 nucleotides) under uncultured bacterium. Its description in RNAcentral is "partial 16S ribosomal RNA". It matches the Rfam family "Bacterial small subunit ribosomal RNA", at positions 524 to 776 of the family's 1533-position model. The record is from RNAcentral.
UACGUAGGGUGCAAGCGUUAAUCGGAAUUACUGGGCGUAAAGCGUGCGCAGGCGGUUUUGCAAGUCUGAUGUGAAAUCCCCGGGCUCAACCUGGGAAUUGCAUUGGAGACUGCAAGGCUAGAAUCUGGCAGAGGGGGGUAGAAUUCCACGUGUAGCAGUGAAAUGCGUAGAGAUGUGGAGGAACACCGAUGGCGAAGGCAGCCCCCUGGGUCAAGAUUGACGCUCAUGCACGAAAGCGUGGGGAGCAAACAGG